UACGGAGGGUGCUAGCGUUGUUCGGAAUUACUGGGCGUAAAGGGCGCGUAGGCGGCCGUUUGCGUCGGAUGUGAAAGCCCGGGGCUCAACCUCGGAACGGCAUUCGAUACGGGACGGCUGGAGACCGGGAGAGGAGAGUGGAAUAGCCAGUGUAGAGGUGAAAUUCGUAGAUAUUGGCUGGAACACCGGUGGCGAAAGCGGCUCUCUGGCCCGGUUCUGACGCUGAGGCGCGAAAGCGUGGGGAGCGAACGGG
This 253-nucleotide ribosomal RNA is filed under the name uncultured bacterium. RNAcentral's name for it is "partial 16S ribosomal RNA". It matches the Rfam family "Bacterial small subunit ribosomal RNA", at positions 524 to 776 of the family's 1533-position model. The record is from RNAcentral.